Molecule: ribosomal RNA, 442 nt
Filed under: uncultured bacterium
Lineage: Bacteria
Description: partial 16S ribosomal RNA
Rfam family: Bacterial small subunit ribosomal RNA
Source: RNAcentral
CCUACGGGGUGCAGCAGUAGGGAAUCUUUCACAAUGGGCGAAAGCCUGAUGGAGCAACGCCGCGUGCAGGAUGAAGGCCUUCGGGUUGUAAACUGCUUUUAUAAGCGAGAAAUAUGAUGGUAACUUAUGAAUAAGGAUCGGCUAACUACGUGCCAGCAGCCGCGGUCAUACGUAGGAUCCGAGCAUUAUCCGGAGUGACUGGGUGUAAAGAGUUGCGUAGGUGGCAUAAUAAGUAGCUAGUGAAAUCUGGUGGCUCAACCAUUCAGACUAUUAGCUAAACUGUUAAGCUCGAGACCGUUAGGGGUAACUGGAAUUUCUAGUGUAGGAGUGAAAUCCGUAGAUAUUAGAAGGAACACCAGUAGCGUAGGCAGGUUGCUGGGACGGUUCUGACACUAAGGCACGAAAGCGUAGGGAGCAAACGGGAUUAGAUACCCCAGUAGUC